This is a long non-coding RNA of Alligator mississippiensis (American alligator), 3876 nucleotides long. RefSeq lists it as uncharacterized. The record is from RefSeq and is a predicted model, not a curated record. Lineage: Eukaryota; Metazoa; Chordata; Crocodylia; Alligatoridae. The transcript has 3 exons.
CCGAGGUGAGGCUGCUUGGUCCUGUCUCAGCCAUGGCAGCUGUGUCUUGCCACCCAGGCUCUGCAAGGAGGCUGUGCUGAAGAUCUGGGAAUCACUGCCUCCUAUGAGAUCCCAGGGAUACAGAUAUCAGAGGUGGCACCAGCUGAACACUAUUGCCACUUAACAUACAACCCUACCACAGCAUGACCAUCUGACACCUGCUGGCUGGAGUCCCACUGCUGCAAAGGUGCCCAAAUGAACAGAAGCCCGGUUGUGUGUGUUGGAAGACAAAGUUAUGGCUGUGUUGACAAAUUUAAUCUAGAUUGCCCCCUCACCUAAUUCACCAGCUAAGAAAACACAAAGUAAACAGAUACCUGAAUCAUGCUGCACAGAUCACAUGCUGUUAACCUUUCACUAGCUGAAUGCAUUGGCAAACUGACACCAAUUUGAGCAGGAGCCAGGACCUUAACUCUGCAGUGGUGACCUUGCUUCUUGGAUCUAUGAACCAGUGACCAUUGCACCUAAAAGUACUCUGGGAAGUAAAGGAGCAGCUUUGCUAGCUGCUGGGGACAGCAGCAGAGAUAGACUUUUUAAAUUGAGCAAAGAACAAGAGUUUUGCUACACAGCAAUGCAAAAUGCGAGUGAAGGCAGAGCACAGUAGUUCUGUUUGGCUACACCUAGAUGAGCUUGUGCACAGUGGUGAUGUUGCUGAUCUCAACCACCUACAUCAAAGUAAAAUACCACCUCUGUCUGCACCUCACUUAGAUUUCUCAGCCUGGCAGUUCUCUCUGGAAAGACAAACCAGGAUUUGUAAUUAAAACAAAGCCUGCUGGGAUUCCAGUUCAGUUUGCAAUGUUGUUCUCUUACUCCUAUUAUGCUGGGCUCUGGAGACAAUUUGACCCCAGCUACAGUGGCACAGCUGCACUUUGUGCCAGCCUAGUGAGACACCCUUGCCAGGGCUGCCAAAGCAAUUUUUUUUAUUGACAAUCUGCAGGAUUUUUACUGAUACUAAUUUUUUUCCUGACAUAUAUUUUACAUCAUGUAAAUAUAACCCUUUGGUCAAAUCAUCAUAGAUUUCAUAGACAUUAAGGCUGGAAGGGACCUUGGAAGAUCAUUGGGGUCCAGACCUCUGCCCCAAGGACAAGAAGUCAGCUAGAGUCAUAGAUUUCAUAGACAUUCAGGCUGGAAGGGACCCCAAAGGAUCAUUGAGUCCAACCCCCUGCCCCAGGGUCAGGAAGUCAGCAGGGAUCAUAGGAUCCCAGCAAGAUAAACAUCCAAAUGUGAAGGCGUUCAAAGUGGGUGCUCGAACCACCUCUGGUGGCAGUCUAUUCCAAACUUUGAGGGCUCAGACAGUAAAGAAGUUCUUCCUUAUGUCCAGCCUGAAUCAGUCUCGGAGGAGUUUGUGACCGUUUGAUCUUGUCAUCCCUUGGGGCGCUCUGGUGAACAGAUGUUCCCCCAGAUCCUGGUGAACUCCCCUAAUAAACCUAUAGGUGGCCACCAGAUCGCCCCUGAGUCUGCGCUUUUCUAGGCUGAAGAGUCCCAUGGCACUCAGCCUCUCAUCAUAAGGUCUGUUUUCCUGAUCUCUGAUCAUGUGCGUGGCUCUCCUCUGCACUCUCUCAAGCUUCUCCACAUCCUUUUUGAAUUGUGGAGCCCAAAACUGGAUGCAGUACUCCACCUGCAGCCUCACCAAGGCUGAGUACAAUGGGAGAACGACGUCCCAGGAUUUGCUUGAGAAUCAUCUAUGGAUGCAAGCCAGCGUUUUGCUCGCUUUACUAGCUGCAGCAUCACAUUGCAGGCUCAUGUUCAUCUUGUGGUCAAUCAUGACCCCCAUGUCCCUUUCAUCAGUAGUGCUAGUCAGCAUAGCACUGCCGAACCUAUAAGGAUCCUGCAGGUUUUUCCUCCCAAGGUGGAGAACCUUGCAUUUUUCGGUGUUAAACACCAUCAGGUUCUCAUCCACCCAUUUCAUGAGCCUGUCAAGAUCUGCCUGGAUCACCCUCCUGUCCUCAGGUGUGGAUGCUUUACCCCAGAGUUUGGUGUCAUCAGCGAACUUGGCCAGUAUGCUUCUAACACCAAUGUCUCCAUCAUUGAUGAAGAUGUUGAACAAUAUAGGCCCUAGGACAGAGUCUUGAGGGACCCCACUGGUCACAGCGCACCACAACAAUUGACUUCCAACAACCACCACCUUCUGGGUCCUACCACGGAGCCAAUUCCCCAGCCAGAGGAUCAUGGUGUGGUCAAGGCCGCAGUUAGCCAGUUUUGUCAAGAGGAGAUCAUGAGAUACCAGAUCGAAGGUGUAAGGCCCAUCCCGAAGAGGCCUCUGGGAGGAGGCCAAGCUGGCCGCCCAAAGUGGGGGUCAGCUUUGCAGAACCUGGAAGCCACGGGACAGUGACCUAAUUAAUCUGCUGAUCAGCCGGAAUGGAGAAAAAGGAAAUGCUUUGAGCAACUAACAGUUCUAGAAAGUACCAGAAAUAAUGGCCAAGAAAAGAGGAACUGCGGCAAAGCCUGAGGUGACCCUGCUUUGCAGCAUGUGAUGAUACUUGCUUUAAUCCAUAAAAAGUGAUAAAGCUAAAAAUGCUGUGUGAUUAGAUCACCUCAGGGAGAUGAGAGGCAGAAAGGUAUAAAAGUUCUAAGAACAAAGCCUGGGGCAGAACUACUUUGGGGAGGACAAGGCUGAGGACCCAAUAAAGAAGGUAGUCUCACCACCCUGGAUGCAGGGUGGGGUUCCUGAGACCCAUCAGGUAAUAAUGAGGGAAAGGGUGUGGAGUGCCUUUCCUCCAGCCCCACACGCUUGCUAUUCUUGAGCAUGAUAUAAGAGCCCAUGCGCUCCCAUUGGCCACUGCCCGGACCACCCCGCUCCACCCCCCUGGCAGCACAGGGAAAUCUGCCCUGGAGUUCAGCUUUUCAUAAUGGCCCUAGAAACAAGGGCCACUGUAAAAAUUAUUAGAGCAGGGACUACACUUAAUCUUAUCCAAGAUAAGAGGCAAGCAGGAACUUCUGAAGCCCUCUCUGCCCCCACCUGCUCCCUGACCCAGCAAGCCCUCUCCAGCCAUAGCUUCAGCCUUGUGUGUACAAGCUUACACAUGCUUGGGAAACCAUGCUGGUGGCUGGCAUGUGUGUGCACAUGUGUGGGGCUGUGUUUCCAGCAGGCACUCACUUUCAUAGAUUCAUAGAUUCACAGAUGUAGGGAUGGAAGGGACCUUGUAGAUCUUCUAGUCCGACCACCUGCCCUGGGCAGGAGAGAAAAGUGGGCUCAAAUGACCCCAGCUAGGUAAACGUCAAGCCUCCUCUUAAAGACCCCCAAGGUAGAAGCCAGCACCACUUCUCUUGGUAGUUGGUUCCAGAUCCUAGCCACCCUGACUGUGAAGCAGUGCCUUCUAAUGUCUAGUCUGAACCUUCUGCCCACGCUGACUCCCCUGUCCUUCUGUCGCAGAGCACUAAGGUGCCCUGCUCCUAAAGAAGGGAAACUGCUAGGGAGUGAGCCCUAGCAGGGAAUAAGGAGCCCAGCUGUUGGCUGCCAGGACAACCAGAGGAGGUCAGCUGACCAGAAGAGGCAGAGCCUGUCUCCCUUAUAAACCCUAGGGGCUGGGCCCAGAGGCAGUUCCCUGCCAGCAGCCCCAGGGGAAGGAGCUCUCUCAGGGAAGAAAGGGGAGGCCUGACUGCAGGAGCAGCGUUUGACACUGCUGAAGGAUGGAGUAUUCCCCGAGCCAUGGGCCUCCAUGAGAAGCGGUGUGUUCAGGAGGAGUAUAAGGCCUUUGUGAAGACAGCCCCCAGACUCGGAGGGUCUCCAUGUUCUCUCCGGUUCGGCCCAGAUUUCCAGGCAGUCACGUGUGUCCCCCACCUGGCCUAAAUUGUCUAUUGUAUUAGUUCAGAGGGUUUAUGAAUAAAGUUAUUUCUGGA